RNAcentral lists this unclassified non-coding RNA (264 nucleotides) under Hevea brasiliensis (rubber tree). The record is from RNAcentral. Lineage: Eukaryota; Viridiplantae; Streptophyta; Magnoliopsida; Malpighiales; Euphorbiaceae.
GGCCAACCCAAAAUAGAAAUUAAUAUACAAUGAAUAAUACUAUAAAAUCAACUAUGACACUUAACAGGUGGCAAUCAACAAACAACAUAAACCAGUGACAGCAACACUAAAGUGAGUACUUAAUCGAUCAAAAUAUCAAACACAUAUGGGGACUCAUGCCUCCACACCACGCUCAUUUGGGAAAUGGGUUAUUUUAGAUCGAGUACAUUAAGUUAAUUCAAUAUCUUUUUCCUUUAAUGUUACCGUGUCGAAGCGUAACACUAC